UCUCCAACACUCAACAAAGCUCCCUUCCUCCUCCCUUUGGCUACGGCCCCAACACACACACACACAUCCAUCCUUUUCAAUCCAUUACCAAGAAUUCCAAGGUGAUAUUAAGGUGUAAGGAGGCCACUAACGAAGCUCGGUGCAAGCGGAUCUUGAAGGACCUUCUCCAUUUGCUUUUAUCCACCACUUUUACCCUUUGAAACUUCCCUAGCCUUGUGCUAGUAGUAACUAAAGGUGGAUGUGCACGCGGUCCUACUCAUGCUUAGGGAUGUCGUCUAUGUUAUGUUUAAAUAAAGUUGUAAACUUUUAAGACAAUGUUUCAUGCUAUCAUCGCGAUGUAAACGCUAAACUUGUGUUUUCAAAUUACGAAAUGUUUGGUAUUUGAAGUUAUUAUUAUGAGCAUGUAGUAUGUUUACCUUUCGUAUGCAAUGAGAACCUUUCAUGAUCGCACCUCGUGCUUCCGCCGCAAAAAGGGGUGUGACAUAAAUAAUCAUAACCUUUUCAUACGUUUAUAUUCUUUAAACAAUUACCUCAUAAAACGAGCAUUUUAUUCUCUUUAAUUUAAGUAUGGUCUUGCUAUAGUUUUUUUUAAUUAAAAAAAUUAAAGGUGCCGAUGGUGUGUAGUGACAGUUUGUAUUUUAUACACGUGUAUGUGCAUAAUUGUUGUACAUUGAGCAAUUGGUUUUUAUACAUAUGUGUAUAGUGACUGUUUGUUUUUUAUACACAACAACCAAGAUACACUGUUAUUGUACAUUAACAACCAAGACCCAUUGUUAUUAUACAUAUACUUUUGAUACACACGUGUAUAAUUGAAGAGAUAAAGUAUUUAAACUUUACUAUUAUACCCUUUAGAUUCAUUUUUUAUUCUCUA
RNAcentral lists this long non-coding RNA (871 nucleotides) under Helianthus annuus (common sunflower). RNAcentral describes it as "hypothetical non coding rna". Lineage: Eukaryota; Viridiplantae; Streptophyta; Magnoliopsida; Asterales; Asteraceae. The record is from RNAcentral.